UCUGAUCAAGUGGUAACGACACUGGCCUCUCACUCUGGAGUUCCGGGUUCGAUCCCCGGCAGAAGAG
Non-coding RNA from Rhamnusium bicolor, 67 nucleotides. The record is from the annotation of a GenBank genome assembly. Lineage: Eukaryota; Metazoa; Arthropoda; Insecta; Coleoptera; Cerambycidae.